This 503-nucleotide ribosomal RNA is filed under the name uncultured bacterium. RNAcentral's name for it is "bacterial SSU rRNA". It matches the Rfam family "Bacterial small subunit ribosomal RNA", at positions 25 to 518 of the family's 1533-position model. The record is from RNAcentral.
CAGGAUGAACGCUAGCGACAGGCUUAACACAUGCAAGUCGAGGGGCGAAGCGUAGAAGUAGCAAUACUUGGUGGCGACCGGCGCACGGGUGAGUAACGCGUAUGCAACCUACCUAUCAGAGGGGAAUAACCCGGCGAAAGUCGGACUAAUACCGCAUAAAACAGGGGCACCGCAUGGUGAUAUUUGUUAAAGAAAUUCGCUGAUAGAUGGGCAUGCGUUCCAUUAGGUAGUUGGUGAGGUAACGGCUCACCAAGCCGACGAUGGAUAGGGGAACUGAGAGGUUGGUCCCCCACACUGGUACUGAGACACGGACCAGACUCCUACGGGAGGCAGCAGUGAGGAAUAUUGGUCAAUGGGCGGGAGCCUGAACCAGCCAAGUCGCCGUGAAGGAAGAAGGAUCUAUGGUUCGUAAACUUCUUUUGCAGGGGAAUAAAGUGCAGGACGUGUCCUGUUUUGUAUGUACCCUGAGAAUAAGGAUCGGCUAACUCCGUGCCAGCAGCCGC